Molecule: long non-coding RNA, 1475 nt
Organism: Uranotaenia lowii
Lineage: Eukaryota; Metazoa; Arthropoda; Insecta; Diptera; Culicidae
Exons: 3
Source: RefSeq, a predicted model, not a curated record
GGAAGGAAUAUCGCAACCGGACCGAUUACUGUCAAACCAUUAGUUGUCAGUUUGAAUCUAUCCGGUUUCCCUUCGAAAUCUGUUGGAUUUUCCUGACAAUUUCUCCGCUGCCAUACAAUGACAGAUAUCGAAAUCGAUCAGUUUGAUUCGGUUCGGAUUUGCGUCGAGUUCUGUCAGUUUUGCUUGAAGGGCCUGUCAUUCGAAAACGAUCGAUUUUGUUUUUGCAUCGCAGCAACGGUUUUCGCAAUAUUUUUUCUGUCGUCGGUUCGAUUGCGAGUACCUACGCCAUAUAGAAAGAUUCUACCGCGAAACAACGAACGCAAAGGGCAGCCCGGUAAAUCCAGUCGGGAACAGCAGACCGGAUGUGUUCAACAGAUACCAGCGGUUCCAGGGACUUAACCCUGGAACGCUUCGUAAGAUUAGUAUUGUCAGUGACGAUGGUAAUAAUCCGGUGGUUUGAUCACCAAGGCCCGCCAAGCACCAUUCCUGCAACAUUUGUUACAUUAGAAUUCUAAUCAAAUCUAAUUGCUACCGUUUGACGAAGUUCCGACAACAACAGUACCUGGGCGUCUAUCUCAAUGUUAGCAAAGCCGGGGAAUCCCUGCUGCAUUAUUCGAAGCGGGAACGGGAAACCUAACAGACCUAAAAGAAUGCCGUUGCGUUGGACCCCCAUAGAAAAUUCGUACCCGAAAAGAAAGAGGCUCCUUAGAAACUUCAGCGAUUCCAAAAGAAGAGGCAUCAUCGAGCUCCGAAUCCAGUUCGGAGAAUGAAGAUGAAGCUUCUGCCCCGGUGAGGAAACCGUCGAUAGAUCCGAACAGACGUCAACAGUUGGUACGCGAAUUGAACCAGGAAACCUACAUCGAUCAUGGGAAACUUAGAAUCGUUACUAUCAGGUGGCAGUGAUCAACGAUCAGAGUAAAAUCCGCCGAAAGGUUCCUACCAGCCGUCAUCCGAGCUCCGAAGGGCAGUCAGCGGAAGCAAAGUUUGAGCAAGAAAACGGAUUCUUACGAACAGCAGAAGUUGACAACCUGUUGACAAAGCUGCACUAACCCUAAAUAUGACCGGGAAAUGAAAUACGAUUGUUUUCGAUGAUGGUGAAGAAGGGAUGGUCAAAAACCUAAACGAAUCAACAACAACAACAACGUCAACAAAACUCCAACAAUCCCACACUGCUGAAAAAGAUCCUUCGCAUACCGAUACACAAAUUGCAGCGAACCUCAAUAGAUUCUACCUUCGGAGAUUUCAAGGAUAGUGCCACAACAACGGGAACGGCAUCAUAUAUGUUCGAUGAGAAUGAAUACUUGGUCCAGGAAAAAAUGAAACGAUUACUUGUCGAAGUUUGCAAACAAAAACCGUAAUCGCUCAAACAAGUCAGUCUUUGAACCUGUGCGCAACCACCAUAUAUUUUUACGGAUCACACACAGACGUCAAACGAUCUUAGACGAAGUGAGCAGCUCGAGCUACCCGAACGCUUC